UACGGAGGGUGCGAGCGUUGUUCGGAAUCACUGGGCGUAAAGGGCUCGUAGGCGGCCAACUAAGUCAGACGUGAAAUCCCUAGGCUCAACCUAGGAACUGCGUCUGAUACUGGAUGGCUUGAAUCCGGGAGAGGGAUGCAGAAUUCCAGGUGUAGCGGUGAAAUGCGUAGAUAUCUGGAGGAAUACCGGUGGCGAAGGCGGCAUCCUGGACCGGCAUUGACGCUGAGGAGCGAAAGCCAGGGGAGCAAACGGG
This 253-nucleotide ribosomal RNA is filed under the name uncultured bacterium. RNAcentral's name for it is "partial 16S ribosomal RNA". It matches the Rfam family "Bacterial small subunit ribosomal RNA", at positions 524 to 776 of the family's 1533-position model. The record is from RNAcentral.